Molecule: ribosomal RNA, 242 nt
Filed under: uncultured bacterium
Lineage: Bacteria
Description: partial 16S ribosomal RNA
Rfam family: Bacterial small subunit ribosomal RNA
Source: RNAcentral
UGACGAGUGGCGGACGGGUGAGUAAUGCUUGGGAAUCUGCCUUAUGGAGGGGGAUAGCUACGGGAAACUGUAGGUAAUACCGCGUAUAAUCGAGAGAUAAAAGUAUGGGAUCUUCGGACCAUGCGCCAUGAGAUGAGCCCAAGUGAGAUUAGGUAGUUGGUAGGGUAAAGGCUUACCAAGCCGACGAUCUCUAGCUGGUUUGAGAGAAUGAUCAGCCACACUGGAACUGAGACACGGUCCAG